AUGCUGGAGGUAUCAGAAGUGCGAAUGCUGACAUAAGUAACGAUAAAGCGGGUGAAAAGCCCGCUCGCCGGAAGACCAAGGGUUCCUGUCCAACGUUAAUCGGGGCAGGGUGAGUCGACCCCUAAGGCGAGGCCGAAAGGCGUAGUCGAUGGGAAACAGGUUAAUAUUCCUGUACUUGGUGUUACUGCGAAGGGGGGACGGAGAAGGCUAUGUUGGCCGGGCGACGGUUGUCCCGGUUUAAGCGUGUAGGCUGGUUUUCCAGGCAAAUCCGGAAAAUCAAGGCUGAGGCGUGAUGACGAGGCACUACGGUGCUGAAGUAACAAAUGCCCUGCUUCCAGGAAAAGCCUCUAAGCAUCAGGUAACAUCAAAUCGUACCCCAAACCGACACAGGUGGUCAGGUAGAGAAUACCAAGGCGCUUGAGAGAACUCGGGUGAAGGAACUAGGCAAAAUGGUGCCGUAACUUCGGGAGAAGGCACGCUGAUAUGUAGGUGAAGUCCCUUGCGGAUGGAGCUGAAAUCAGUCGAAGAUACCAGCUGGCUGCAACUGUUUAUUAAAAACACAGCACUGUGCAAACACGAAAGUGGACGUAUACGGUGUGACGCCUGCCCGGUGCCGGAAGGUUAAUUGAUGGGGUUAGCGGUAACGCGAAGCUCUUGAUCGAAGCCCCGGUAAACGGCGGCCGUAACUAUAACGGUCCUAAGGUAGCGAAAUUCCUUGUCGGGUAAGUUCCGACCUGCACGAAUGGCGUAAUGAUGGCCAGGCUGUCUCCACCCGAGACUCAGUGAAAUUGAACUCGCUGUGAAGAUGCAGUGUACCCGCGGCAAGACGGAAAGACCCCGUGAACCUUUACUAUAGCUUGACACUGAACAUUGAGCCUUGAUGUGUAGGAUAGGUGGGAGGCUUUGAAGUGUGGACGCCAGUCUGCAUGGAGCCGACCUUGAAAUACCACCCUUUAAUGUUUGAUGUUCUAACGUUGGCCCCUGAUCGGGGUUGCGGACAGUGUCUGGUGGGUAGUUUGACUGGGGCGGUCUCCUCCUAAAGAGUAACGGAGGAGCACGAAGGUUGGCUAAUCCUGGUCGGACAUCAGGAGGUUAGUGCAAUGGCAUAAGCCAGCUUGACUGCGAGCGUGACGGCGCGAGCAGGUGCGAAAGCAGGUCAUAGUGAUCCGGUGGUUCUGAAUGGAAGGGCCAUCGCUCAACGGAUAAAAGGUACUCCGGGGAUAACAGGCUGAUACCGCCCAAGAGUUCAUAUCGACGGCGGUGUUUGGCACCUCGAUGUCGGCUCAUCACAUCCUGGGGCUGAAGUAGGUCCCAAGGGUAUGGCUGUUCGCCAUUUAAAGUGGUACGCGAGCUGGGUUUAGAACGUCGUGAGACAGUUCGGUCCCUAUCUGCCGUGGGCGCUGGAGAACUGAGGGGGGCUGCUCCUAGUACGAGAGGACCGGAGUGGACGCAUCACUGGUGUUCGGGUUGUCAUGCCAAUGGCACUGCCCGGUAGCUAAAUGCGGAAGAGAUAAGUGCUGAAAGCAUCUAAGCACGAAACUUGCCCCGAGAUGAGUUCUCCCUGACCCUUUAAGGGUCCUGAAGGAACGUUGAAGACGACGACGUUGAUAGGCCGGGUGUGUAAGCGCAGCGAUGCGUUGAGCUAACCGGUACUAAUGAACCGUGAGGCUUAACCUUACAACGCCGAAG
This 1689-nucleotide ribosomal RNA is filed under the name Escherichia coli. RNAcentral describes it as "bacterial LSU rRNA". It matches the Rfam family "Bacterial large subunit ribosomal RNA", at positions 1270 to 2925 of the family's 2925-position model. Lineage: Bacteria; Pseudomonadati; Pseudomonadota; Gammaproteobacteria; Enterobacterales; Enterobacteriaceae. The record is from RNAcentral.